This 497-nucleotide ribosomal RNA is filed under the name uncultured bacterium. RNAcentral describes it as "partial 16S ribosomal RNA". It matches the Rfam family "Bacterial small subunit ribosomal RNA", at positions 28 to 507 of the family's 1533-position model. The record is from RNAcentral.
GAUGAACGCUGGCGGCGUGCCUAAUACAUGCAAGUCGAGCGAACAGACGAGGAGCUUGCUCCUCUGACGUUAGCGGCGGACGGGUGAGUAACACGUGGAUAACCUACCUAUAAGACUGGGAUAACUUCGGGAAACCGGAGCUAAUACCGGAUAAUAUAUUGAACCGCAUGGUUCAAUAGUGAAAGACGGUUUUGCUGUCACUUAUAGAUGGAUCCGCGCCGCAUUAGCUAGUUGGUAAGGUAACGGCUUACCAAGGCAACGAUGCGUAGCCGACCUGAGAGGGUGGGCGCCCACCGGGGAAGGGAGCCCGGCACAAAGCCCCGGGGGGGGGCACCAGUGGGAAACCUUCGGCAGUGGGGGAGAGCUUGGCGGACAAGGCCGGGGUGAGAAAUAAGGGUCUCGGUUCCUAAAAACUGUUUUAUGGGGAAAAAAAAAAUUUUAAAGAAACAAGGCAGUUCUUGAGGGAAACAAAUAAAAAAGCCAGGGCAAACCAGGUC